AAAAGUUUGUUGAGUGAUAUGUCGUCGGGAAGAAUGAGUAGUGUAGUGUGGUAGUGAAGAUGGACAAAACACUGAAAUGAGUGGAAGUGAGUGUGUUGGGAUGCAGUAAGUAUAAUAAGGGGAUGUAGUGUGCAUGAGUGAAUAAAACGGAUGAAAAAUUUGAAGUUGAUUUGAAUUGAGUGUGCUGGAGUACGUUAAAGGUGAUAGGGACAAGUAGUGUACUAUA
Molecule: non-coding RNA, 226 nt
Organism: Schizosaccharomyces pombe (fission yeast)
Lineage: Eukaryota; Fungi; Ascomycota; Schizosaccharomycetes; Schizosaccharomycetales; Schizosaccharomycetaceae
Source: the annotation of a GenBank genome assembly